GAGGGUGUAGCUCAGUAGUAGAGCACGUGCUCAGCAUGCACAAGGUCCUGAGUUCAGUCCCCAGUACCGCCA
This 72-nucleotide transfer RNA is filed under the name Camelus bactrianus (Bactrian camel). It matches the Rfam family "tRNA". Rfam says of the family: Transfer RNA (tRNA) molecules are approximately 80 nucleotides in length. Their secondary structure includes four short double-helical elements and three loops (D, anti-codon, and T loops). Further hydrogen bonds mediate the characteristic L-shaped molecular structure. tRNAs have two regions of fundamental functional importance: the anti-codon, which is responsible for specific mRNA codon recognition, and the 3' end, to which the tRNAs corresponding amino acid is attached (by aminoacyl-tRNA synthetases). tRNAs cope with the degeneracy of the genetic code in two manners: having more than one tRNA (with a specific anti-codon) for a particular amino acid; and 'wobble' base-pairing, i.e. permitting non-standard base-pairing at the 3rd anti-codon position. The record is from Rfam by way of RNAcentral. Lineage: Eukaryota; Metazoa; Chordata; Mammalia; Artiodactyla; Camelidae. RNAcentral also lists the same sequence under 1 other name.